RNAcentral lists this ribosomal RNA (466 nucleotides) under uncultured bacterium. Its description in RNAcentral is "partial 16S ribosomal RNA". It matches the Rfam family "Bacterial small subunit ribosomal RNA", at positions 28 to 505 of the family's 1533-position model. The record is from RNAcentral.
GACGAACGCUGGCGGCGUGCUUAACACAUGCAAGUCGAACGGAAAGGCCCUGCUUUUGUGGGGUGCUCGAGUGGCGAACGGGUGAGUAACACGUGAGUAACCUGCCCUUGACUUUGGGAUAACUUCAGGAAACUGGGGCUAAUACCGGAUAGGAGCUCCUGCUGCAUGGUGGGGGUUGGAAAGUUUCGGCGGUUGGGGAUGGACUCGCGGCUUAUCAGCUUGUUGGUGGGGUAGUGGCUUACCAAGGCUUUGACGGGUAGCCGGCCUGAGAGGGUGACCGGCCACAGUGGGACUGAGAGACGGCAGAGACGCCUACGGGAGGCAGCAGUGGGGAAUAUUGCACAAUGGGCGGAAGCCUGAUGCAGCAACGCCGCGUGCGGGAUGACGGCCUUCGGGUUGUGAACCGCUUUCGCCUGUGACGAAGCGUGAGUGACGGUAAUGGGUAAAGAAGCACCGGCUAACUACG